AAGAGGGUCAUUUCAAAUAGAAAUGAGAUAGAUACAUCAGUGUACAACACGUGGGUGGUGGCCAAGCCUUUUAAAAUAAUAAAAAGGAUAACGUUUACCAUGGGGGAGUGAGGGCCGUGUGCCCCGAUCCCAAAACAUAGGAUAAAGUUUCUCUCCAAACGGCUAGGUCAUCCAACCAAGCAUUCGUCAGUUGGAAGGACAUGGGGCCUUGUUCAUGUGUUGGGUGCAUAUCUAGUUCUUCUAGGCGUCAGAUCCCUGAUUGGACACCCAUGUGGUUGAAGAAAGAUACAUACAUGCGAAGAUAGAAAGCAAAAUGACCAGCCCACUCCAUGAAAGGCUGUGAUGCUUCUAAACCCAACUGGUAUGCAACCCUCUUCCUCUCACUCCAUCUAGUGGCAGUGAUGCUUCUUCUUUGUUGAAUUCUGGCCUAGAAUUUGCAAUUUAGGUAAUCAAUUAAACUUUAGUGUGAAUAAAUGGGGAUAGGUCAAGGGUUUAUACCAUCGCCGAAUAUUUCUGCAGGGAAUUGAAAGGUCUGGAUCAGAAGUAAGGGAUGUCAACGAGAGGUUUAAAGGACUGAAAUUGGAAUAUGAAAAUCAGACACACCUUUGCCAAACCCAACAGGUAUGCAACCCUGUUACACUCAGUCUAGGGGAAAGUAGUGUUUCUUCUUUGUUGAAGUCUGGAAUGGAAUCUGCGGUUAAGGGCAUCAAUGAGUAGUUUGGAUCAAAAGUAAGGGAUAUCAAUGAGAGGUUGCAGAGUGUAGCACAAAAGUUGUUGCUCUAGUUUUGAGCCCCAGCAUGGGAUCUGGGUCUUCAUAAUCUUACCUCUCUUUCAGCUCCUACCAUUGGUGGGUGUGCUGAGCUCGUGUCCGUUCCAAAGGGUCUGCUCCCCACCAAUCUUGGUGUAUUUUGCAUCGAGGACUGCCCAAUUCUUAAAUCCCUACAUGAUGGACUCUCUGAUCUAACCUCUCUUAGACAUUUGGAGAUCCAUAGUUGUCCAAUGCUAAAACAACGGUACCAAAAGGGAGCAGAAUAGUGGUCCAAGAUUGCCCAAAUCCAUUCAGUAUUAAUAGAUGAUGAAUGGCAAUAAAUCUUAUUCACCACUUGUGGGCCUGCCCUCUCAAAAUAAAACCCAUGGAUUGAGUACGACAGAUGGGUAGUGUUUAUUAUGCAAAAAACACAAUAAAAGCAGAGAUGCAUUGCUGCCAAUAUGAAGUGAGGAAAAUGAUGAGAUGUGAAGAGCAUGAAUGAAUUAUGCAACAGACAUGCACAGAGCAGAUUUGUAUUAUGGAAAUUUCUCUCAGAUGGAAUUGGACGAACCCAUUUAAUUGGGAAAAGGUUGAGUUGUUGUCUCUCAGAUGGAUUGGUUCUCUGUGAAAGUGCUGAAGAAUUGGUGCAAAGCAAAAUGGCAAUUACAAGGAACAUUGCAGCUAAUUACCAUUGCCUAGCAUUGCAGCUAUAGUUAUCACUAAUGAGCAUUCCAAUAAUUGGGAAGUCAGAAUUGUGAGGUUAACUAAUUCUUUUCUCACUUUUGCAUCCUCUGCCCCAAGAAUCAAAUGGUUUUGUUCUCCAUUGUCAAAUUUGGACAAGAAUUUUGAUUGUGGCAAUAUCCUCUGAAUUAUAGAAACUACUUGAGGAAGGAAAGACACAAAUCAUUAUGCCAUGAACAGUCAAUUAACAUCAAUGAGUACACAUUUUGGCACAACACAUCAGAGGUGGUUGUAUUGAAUUUCUGAAAUGUUUACAUUGCAUCAUUACCAGUUAGGAAGAUAGUUGCAGCAGAAAUUCUACUAGAGAUAGUUGCAAGAUGCCCAAUGUAAUUUCUUUGCGUUUAUCUCUCACUUCUGGACUUCAAAUUGGCCGAAACAAAAGCAGAUCCACAUUAAUUGUC
Long non-coding RNA from Macadamia integrifolia, 1890 nucleotides. RefSeq lists it as uncharacterized. The transcript is spliced from 6 exons. The record is from RefSeq and is a predicted model, not a curated record. NCBI's taxonomy places the organism in Eukaryota, Viridiplantae, Streptophyta, Magnoliopsida, Proteales, Proteaceae.